RNAcentral lists this ribosomal RNA (253 nucleotides) under uncultured bacterium. RNAcentral's name for it is "partial 16S ribosomal RNA". It matches the Rfam family "Bacterial small subunit ribosomal RNA", at positions 524 to 776 of the family's 1533-position model. The record is from RNAcentral.
UACGUAGGUGGCGAGCGUUGUCCGGAUUUACUGGGCGUAAAGAGCGCGCAGGCGGUCAAGUAAGUCGAAUGUGAAAGCCCCCGGCUCAACUGGGGAGGGUCAUUCGAUACUGAUCGACUCGAAGGCAGGAGAGGGUAGUGGAAUUCCCGGUGUAGUGGUGAAAUGCGUAGAUAUCGGGAGGAACACCAGUGGCGAAGGCGACUACCUGGCCUGUUCUUGACGCUGAGGCGCGAAAGCUAGGGGAGCAAACGGG